AAUUUUGUACUUUAUUUCAAAAGUUUUGAUUUGCAUUCAAAGAAAGGAAGGUUUUCCCAAAGUUG
This 65-nucleotide transfer RNA is filed under the name Phoronis psammophila. RNAcentral describes it as "tRNA-Ala". The record is from RNAcentral. Lineage: Eukaryota; Metazoa; Phoronida; Phoronidae.